This 630-nucleotide unclassified non-coding RNA is filed under the name Leishmania donovani. Its description in RNAcentral is "gene:unknown". The stretch from base 465 to 528 matches the Rfam family "Trypanosomatid snoRNA TB11Cs4H2". Lineage: Eukaryota; Euglenozoa; Kinetoplastea; Trypanosomatida; Trypanosomatidae. The record is from RNAcentral.
AGCGCACGCUGCCCCACCCCCUGCCACUUCGCCGCUGCGCGAGGCGCAUGCGCGUGAUGAAUACUAUUCACAUAGUUUCCUGUCAGUCCGAGCACUGCAUGAGGUCAUAGCAUUUCUCAACUCAGCUCACACUGACGCGGUGCGGGUGCUGCUGUGUGCGUGUGCGUGUGCGUGUGCCGCUGAAUGAUGCACUCAUCUGUGUUGGUCCAAACAGUUUGACUGGCGCAUGAGAAGAUACACAUGCAAAUCACCUUUCGGCUGACGUGCGUGGCACGGGCGCGUGUGCGGGCUGCUGUCGGCUGUCCAGCCGCGUGUGCGUGGUGGCCCUGAUGGAGAAACAAUUCUUGUGCGCGAGCGAGGCUAUGAGCGCACAUUUUGAGCCAAGAAAACAAAACUCAACAGGUCUGAGACGCUGCCACUGCGUGGCGGCGCCGCCGCCGGGCCGCACGCUGCGACGUGCGUGAACGGAGUGCAUUGAGUCCUACCGCUCCCCACCAGUAAGCGGGUGGGAGCAUCAACUCUCCUAGAUGCGGCGCGACGGGGUGCCGCGCCGCUUGCCUUCUCACCGCUACCCCCUGCCACUUCGCCGCUGCGCGAGGCGCAUGCGCGUGAUGAAUACUAUUCACAUAG